UUUUUUUUGAGAGAUAGGUGGUAGUAUGCUAUCUGUUUCGUUUAUUUCAUUUAGCAAUAAAUUUAGCUAAAAAUAUGAAUCAACUAGGAUUUGAACUUGGGUCUCGGAUACUAAUCACCAAGCCCUUUGCCACUUAUUCUAGGAACGGUCGGUUUCCAACUGUAUAUUUUUAUUACAUGUAAAACACUCUUUCUGUGAUCCUAAUCAAAGUUUCCGUCGACUGGAGCGCCUUUUCAUUUCUUU
This 243-nucleotide long non-coding RNA is filed under the name Ananas comosus (pineapple). RNAcentral's name for it is "long non-coding RNA (ACOM_LNC021891)". The record is from RNAcentral. Lineage: Eukaryota; Viridiplantae; Streptophyta; Magnoliopsida; Poales; Bromeliaceae.